UACGGAGGGGGCUAGCGUUGUUCGGAAUUACUGGGCGUAAAGCGCACGUAGGCGGCUAUUCAAGUCAGAGGUGAAAGCCCGGGGCUCAACCCCGGAACUGCCUUUGAAACUAGAUAGCUAGAAUCACGGAGAGGUAAGUGGAAUUCCGAGUGUAGAGGUGAAAUUCGUAGAUAUUCGGAAGAACACCAGUGGCGAAGGCGGCUCACUGGUCCAUUACUGACGCUGAGGUGCGAAAGCGUGGGGAGCAAACAGG
This 253-nucleotide ribosomal RNA is filed under the name uncultured bacterium. Its description in RNAcentral is "partial 16S ribosomal RNA". It matches the Rfam family "Bacterial small subunit ribosomal RNA", at positions 524 to 776 of the family's 1533-position model. The record is from RNAcentral.